CAGGGAACUUGCCUUUGACUCCCAAAUCACUUAUGCAAAGUCACACCUGGGAACAGGAGCACAGUGUUUUGGCCUCUGCAACAUCCUCUGGACAGCAGGGACCGAGGAGCCUUGGUGGAUGACAGGUUGAUGAUGAGCCAGCAGUGCGUCCCUGCAGUCAGAAGGAAUGGAACUCCCAAUGGAAUCCCGGAUUGCCUUGGGAAGAGCGUGGCCAACAGAGGAACCCACACAGGGAGGAGGUGCUGGAAUUCUGGACAUGGCCCUUCAGGCAGCUUUUCCAGUGUGAUUUGCAGAGUCUCAGACUUUCCCCAGCUGCUGCAACCAAGGCCGUGGGCAAAGACAGCAAGACUUGGACUGCUGGAGGAUUUGGGAAUUUUUGAAGACAUUCCAGCAAAACCUUACAUGGGACA
Ficedula albicollis (Collared flycatcher) is the source of this 410-nucleotide long non-coding RNA. RefSeq lists it as uncharacterized. The transcript is spliced from 3 exons. The record is from RefSeq and is a predicted model, not a curated record. NCBI's taxonomy places the organism in Eukaryota, Metazoa, Chordata, Aves, Passeriformes, Muscicapidae.